GGGGGAUAUUGCACAAUGGGGGAAACCCUGAUGCAGCGACGCCGCGUGGAGGAAGAAGGUUUUCGGAUUGUAAACCUCUGUUCUUAGUGACGAUAAUGACGGUAGCUAAGGAGAAAGCUCCGGCUAACUACGUGCCAGCAGCCGCGGUAAUACGUAGGGAGCGAGCGUUGUCCGGAUUUACUGGGUGUAAAGGGUGCGUAGGCGGCGAGGCAAGUCAGGCGUGAAAUCUAUGGGCUUAACCCAUAAACUGCGCUUGAAACUGUUUUGCUUGAGUGAAGUAGAGGUAGGCGGAAUUCCCGGUGUAGCGGUGAAAUGCGUAGAGAUCGGGAGGAACACCAGUGGCGAAGGCGGCCUACUGGGCUUUAACUGACGCUGAAGCACGAAGGCAUGGGUAGCAAACAGGAUUAGAUACCCUGGUAGUCCAUGCCGUAAACGAUGAUUACUAGGUGUGGGGGGUCUGACCCCCUCCGUGCCGCAGUUAACACAAUAAGUAAUCCACCUGGGGAGUACGGCCGCAAGGUUGAAACUCAAAGGAAUUGACGGGGGCCCGCACAAGCAGUGGAGUAUGUGGUUUAAUUCGAAGCAACGCGAAGAACCUUACCAGGUCUUGACAUCCGUCUAACGAAGCAGAGAUGCAUAAGGUGCCCUUCGGGGAAAGGCGAGACAGGUGGUGCAUGGUUGUCGUCAGCUCGUGUCGUGAGAUGUUGGGUUAAGUCCCGCAACGAGCGCAACCCUUGUUUCUAGUUGCUACGCAAGAGCACUCUAGAGAGACUGCCGUUGACAAAACGGAGGAAGGUGGGGACGACGUCAAAUCAUCAUGCCCCUUAUGACCUGGGCCACACACGUACUACAAUGGCUGUAAACAGAGGGAAGCAAAGCCGCGAGGUGGAGCAAAACCCUAAAAGCAGUCCCAGUUCGGAUCGCAGGCUGCAACCCGCCUGCGUGAAGUCGGAAUUGCUAGUAAUCGCGGAUCAGCAUGCCGCGGUGAAUACGUUCCCG
This 999-nucleotide ribosomal RNA is filed under the name uncultured bacterium. Its description in RNAcentral is "bacterial SSU rRNA". It matches the Rfam family "Bacterial small subunit ribosomal RNA", at positions 356 to 1376 of the family's 1533-position model. The record is from RNAcentral.